UAGGCUCCAGGGGGGCCGGGCCUUGGGGCCCUGAGGGGCGGUCUCAUGGGGAGCAGCAUCUCACCCAGCUGUAUAGGGGCUCACAGUGCAUUCUGGGGGGCAUCCAAGGCCUGAAGUGGGGUGUCUCCUUUUCCGACCACCCCCCUCCACUUGUGUUCCCUGCACCUCAGAGUCCUCCAACUUCACAGCUGUCCUGCUGGGCCUGCUGGUGCCUGUGGGGGUUGGAGUGCCCACCGUGGCCCAGCUGUGUGCAUCCAGGAAGCGGCGGAGGAGGGAGAAAGCUCAGAGGCCGGACAGGCAGCUGCUGGUGGACGCGGGUGCAAGCUGACAGAGCCCUGGCGCCCAGCAAGUGGUCUCCUGCGCCGACUGCUCACUUGGACCUCGCUCAGGGUCCCCCCCAAGAAGAGAUAAAAAAGAGACAGGAUUAAAGGGUUUAUUUUUGA
Long non-coding RNA from Erinaceus europaeus (western European hedgehog), 443 nucleotides. RefSeq lists it as uncharacterized. The record is from RefSeq and is a predicted model, not a curated record. The transcript is spliced from 2 exons. Lineage: Eukaryota; Metazoa; Chordata; Mammalia; Eulipotyphla; Erinaceidae.